RNAcentral lists this transfer RNA (88 nucleotides) under Actinomycetes bacterium. Its description in RNAcentral is "Actinobacteria bacterium tRNA-Leu". It matches the Rfam family "tRNA". From Rfam's summary of the family: Transfer RNA (tRNA) molecules are approximately 80 nucleotides in length. RNAcentral also lists the same sequence under 1 other name. Lineage: Bacteria; Bacillati; Actinomycetota; Actinomycetes. The record is from RNAcentral.
GCCCGGGUGGCGAAAUCUGGCGAGACGCGGCAGGCUUAAACCCUGCCGGUCCUUCGGGACCAUGUGGGUUCGAAUCCCGCCCCGGGCA